Long non-coding RNA from Alligator sinensis (Chinese alligator), 383 nucleotides. RefSeq lists it as uncharacterized. The transcript is spliced from 3 exons. NCBI's taxonomy places the organism in Eukaryota, Metazoa, Chordata, Crocodylia, Alligatoridae. The record is from RefSeq and is a predicted model, not a curated record.
UGAGCUGUGUAGAGCUCAGGGUUAGCUCCAAGCUGCAGGGAGGAGCUGUCACUGUAGCUCCCUGCUGUCCUGGGGUAUCUCCCAGCCUCGAGAAGAGUAGUGCUUUUCACGCUAGCAGGGACCUGGAGGACUGAAAAGAAGUGGGAAACAUGAAAAAAAUAUCAGGAUAUCAACAAAAGAUCAUCUAUAAUCUGUGCAACUGUGAAACAAAAAAAAUAAUGUAAUGUGUUUCCCCCCCCCACUGGCUGCAUUUUGUUACAGAAAUGAGAUCUCAUUAUGCUUCAGGAAAUACAGAUUCUACCACACAAAGUAUUUAAUAAAUGUUAUAGUGCACUUUACCUGAAAAAGAAGCUGGUCACAUAGCUAGUCACAAAUAUUUGGCC